Molecule: ribosomal RNA, 248 nt
Filed under: uncultured bacterium
Lineage: Bacteria
Description: partial 16S ribosomal RNA
Rfam family: Bacterial small subunit ribosomal RNA
Source: RNAcentral
GAUCCUGGCUCAGAUUGAACGCUGGCGGCAGGCCUAACACAUGCAAGUCGAACGGUAACAGGAAGAAGCUUGCUUCUUUGCUGACGAGUGGCGGACGGGUGAGUAAUGUCUGGGAAACUGCCUGAUGGAGGGGGGAUAACUACUGGAAACGGUAGCUAAUACCGCAUAACGUCGCAAGACCAAAGAGGGGGACCUUCGUGCCUCUUGCCAUCGGAUGUGCCCAGAUGGGAUUAGCUUGUUGGUGGGGG